AUUGAACGCUGGCGGCAGGCUUAACACAUGCAAGUCGAGCGAGCGGCGGACGGGUGAGUAAUGUCUUGGAAACUGCCUGAUGGAGGGGGAUAACUACUGUAACCGGUAGCUAAUACCGCAUACCAUCAGAUGUGCCCUGAUGGGAUUAGCUAGUAGGUGGGGUAAUGGCUCACCUAGGCGACGAUCCCUACCUGGUCUGAGAGGAUGACCAGCCACACGGGAACUGAGACACGGACCAGACGCCUACGGGAGGCAGCAGUGGGGAAGAUUGGACAAUGGGCGCAAGCCUGAUGCAGCCAUGCCGCGUGUGUGAAGAAGGCCUUCGGGUUGUAAAGCACUUUCGGCGAGGAGGCGUUACUCGCAGAAGAAGCACCGGCUAACUCCGUGCCAGCCGCCGCGGUAAUUC
Molecule: ribosomal RNA, 406 nt
Filed under: uncultured bacterium
Lineage: Bacteria
Description: partial 16S ribosomal RNA
Rfam family: Bacterial small subunit ribosomal RNA
Source: RNAcentral